GGUUUUACACUUUGAAAAUGAGUCUCACAUAAGUAAUAAAACUCAUUAUGAAGGUGUUGGAAUUGGUGGACGAUAUUAAAGUGGUGUCUUGGCGGUGGUGUUUAACUCAUUUAAAAAUCCCAUCUUACCUUUUCUACUAAUGGAAUUGAAACCCAAUGGCUUGUGUUGUGAGAAAGUGGAUGUUGGUUGUGGAGUAUGUUGCUUUAUGGACAACCAAACACAUAAUACAAUCAAUUGAAUGUAGCACGAAAAACUACAAAAAACUACUAUCCAAUAAACACUGUUCAUGAGUACAUAACAAUCAUAGAAAAUCAAUCAACAUAAAAACAUCAAAGCAAACACUUAAAGCAAUAAAAUAACAGCAAAGUUCAAGAUUAUUGAAUAAUCCUAAAUAAUCAUUUGUCAAACCCUAACAAUAAAGUUUACACAAUCAACAUAAAUUCAAUAUCAAUGUCAUACCCCAAUUUUUGUCGUUGGAUCCUGAUCAGUCUUUAAAUUUUCAGAAAAAUUCGGAAGAGAAGUAAUUUAAAAUACCUCAUUUUUGGUUCUGAGUCGGGCCCUCUUCUCUCAUUUAAUUUUUUGUUUUAGUUGAAAUUUCCAUCUUUUAUUCUUUUAAAAAAAAACCAUUUAAUUUUUGUUUUAUUCUAUAUUAGUCUUUAUUUAUUUGUUUAUUUAAUUAUUCCAUUUUUUUAAGAUAAGUCCAAAAGUCAAUUCUGCAUUUCUUUUUAUUUUUUAUUUUUUAUUUUUCAUUUAUUAUCUUAUUCUUUUGUUAUUAUUCGAUGAAUCCAAAAAAACCUGUCACGGCAUUCAUCCCAAUCCAAUUCUAAACAGCCUGUCACAUUAACUUGUUCCAAUCCAACCCUAUCUGCAACAAAACCAGGAACAAAAGUGUGUUGCCCCUUCCCCAAUUCAAACAUUUUUCCAGUACAAUCUAGUACUAUAAAACCCAAACACCUAAACCUGCAAAAGACAACCAUUUUCAGCCAGAGAAACACACAUGAAAUUCUAGAAUUGCACAUCACAGAGGAGCAGAGAACCGCAACCGUUCCUACACCGACGACCAGCAAGCAACCAGAAUCCGAACCUGUAUCAGUCAACACACACGUAGCAAAAGGUCCAGUCUGGCACACAACACAAGCCAGAAUGUAAAUAACACAAAACUAAUCAAACAUUAAUUUCUACCCCGAACUACGAGGUUUUGAUCCCUCACGGGUAUGUAGGCAAAGGACACUCGUCCUUUCAAAUCAUAAAAAUGUAAAUAAAAUAAGCCUCUUUUCCCUUUUUAUCACUUUAAAUUCUAUUUUCAAAAAUAAACAAGUCAUAGAACAAAACGUUAAAUAAAACCAAGAGGUUCCCGUAGAGUACUACACACAAAAGGGUGCUAAUACCUUCCCUUUAUGUAACUAACCCCCGAACCCUAAAUCUUUUCAAAAUGGGGUAGUUUGAACCUCUUUUUCCCCUUUUCUAAAAAAAAUAAAUGUUCAGUCGUGAAAUAAAUUAGCGAGUCAAAAACUAAUCAAAUAGCCUUGAUCUCCAAAAAAUGACGCGACAAUCAACAAGGUGAUAAUAGAUGUUAACUCUCAUUACAAUAAUAAACAAAUGAAACAAAUAAGUUUAAAAUCAUAAAAUUAGAAAAGGGUUUACCUCUUAGAAGAUCACCACCAAUGGAGGAAGAGAGAAAAUAGUAAAGGAAUAAGAAGAUUAGAGACACAAGUAACAAAGAGGAGGAAGUUUUGUUUUGAAACAAGGAUGUGGAAGUGGUUGAUUUUUUUAUGUGGUUGAAACAGAGAGGGAGUUUGUUUGUUCACCGUGAGAAAGAAAGAAAGAAAACGUGUUCUAUAAUUGUGAAUUGUG
This 1854-nucleotide long non-coding RNA is filed under the name Medicago truncatula (barrel medic). RNAcentral describes it as "long non-coding RNA (MTRU_LNC006349)". Lineage: Eukaryota; Viridiplantae; Streptophyta; Magnoliopsida; Fabales; Fabaceae. The record is from RNAcentral.